Molecule: ribosomal RNA, 424 nt
Filed under: Verrucomicrobiota bacterium
Lineage: Bacteria; Pseudomonadati; Verrucomicrobiota
Description: Verrucomicrobia bacterium partial 16S ribosomal RNA
Rfam family: Bacterial small subunit ribosomal RNA
Source: RNAcentral
UGAGGAAUAUUGGUCAAUGGGCGAGAGCCUGAACCAGCCAAGUAGCGUUCAGGAUGACGGCCCUAUGGGUUGUAAACUGCUUUUAUAUGGGAAUAAAGUGAGGGACGUGUCCCUUAUUGCAUGUACCAUACGAAUAAGGACCGGCUAAUUCCGUGCCAGCAGCCGCGGUAAUACGGAAGGUCCAGGCGUUAUCCGGAUUUAUUGGGUUUAAAGGGAGCGUAGGCUGUUUGUUAAGCGUGUUGUGAAAUGUAAGAGCUCAACUUUUAGAUUGCAGCGCGAACUGGCAGACUUGAGUGCGCACAACGUAGGCGGAAUUCAUGGUGUAGCGGUGAAAUGCUUAGAUAUCAUGACGAACUCCGAUUGCGAAGGCAGCUUACGGGAGCGCAACUGACGCUAAAGCUCGAAGGUGCGGGUAUCGAACAGG